RNA transcript from Mya arenaria, 2392 nucleotides. RefSeq lists it as uncharacterized. Lineage: Eukaryota; Metazoa; Mollusca; Bivalvia; Myida; Myidae. The record is from RefSeq and is a predicted model, not a curated record. The transcript has 10 exons.
AAAGAAUAUUGACGUUUCGGUGUUAUCUCCCGUAGCUAUCAUGUGCUAUCUUUAACCUAAAUUUGAGGAUGUAGGUCGAGUUAAACCAAAGGCAUUUACAUAAAAUUAGGAAUUUAUAGGUCAAGCACCUGCUGUACAUGGAACAACAAUCCAUUACAGCUUUGACUAUGCCAAGCAAGUCUUCUACCCGUACUAGGCACAACAAGUGGGCCCUUCUUUGAGUCGUUCUGUAAAUCAAAUGUGAUGAAGGAUUUAGUUGUGAUGUGACCAAUGGUGUGGUACCUCAUUUCAACAUCAUCCAUAUGGAGAAGAAUCAGCAAACCUGCACAUGGACAACUGUGCUGGGCUGAAUAAGAACGAUGCAGUGUUUGGGGAUUGGUGCCUGAUGUAUUUUGAAGGGGCCACAUAGAGAAAUAGCAUUCACUUAAAUGGAAGUGGGUGACAUAAAGUUCAGUCCUGUCUGAGAUUUGGUCUAUGGAAGACCAAAUGGAGGCAGCACACAUGUUUGUGGACUGCUGAUCUUGGCAAACUGGUUAUAUUCUUUGACUGGUUGGAGUACACCAAGAGACCCCUGGAGUCCAUUCCAAACUAGAGGAAAUAUCAUCACUUGAGGACCAAAGAAGUUGUUCAAGAUAUCAUUACAAUUAUAAGUGACGGAAUACUUGGAUUGGAGGAGAAAUCAAAAUGUCGGUUUCAAGAUUAUACCAAUCAGUGGAGAAAUGUAGGAUUAAUAAAUUAUGUAGUACAACAUUAAACACAUGUUUAAUUAUACUUGUGUUUCUCGGCUUAUGUCUAAAUAUAUCUACAAGUGAAGAACAGAAUAAAUGUACAAUUAAGAUACAACCAAGUUUGUGCUCUCUCAAAUGGGACACCAAAGAUAAAGAGAGCACUGAUGUAUACGUCAAUGGCUUUGCUGUAGCUUCUUGCACGCAGAAAUUUAGUGACAUAGGCGGCUCGUUUCUGUAUGAAAAGAAAUAUCAGACCCUGUAUAAUUGUACAUCUUCAUCAGACGGACAAUGUCUUCUAAAGAUAAAGAAGAUGGUCAAUGAACCAUUACGUAUUAACAUCACUUCACAAUCGAGCGGGUUAAAAAGUAUCGCCGUCAGUGACAACGCACUAACUGGAUGUAUAAAUUCAAAAAACACCUAUAUCAUCCUGGAAGUCGGUGGAAAUCCGUUCACAAAUGCCGGGGCAGUUUUCGCACAGACUAGGAAAGGACUCAUCGUGGUAGCUGCACAUAUGAUAAUGGGAUACUAUUAAUUUAUGACAUUAUGUCAAGUGUAUUAAGGAUCAGUUGGUGUAUGAACCAUGCUGGAAUACGGUGUUGGACAAAUCAGCAAGUGCAUUGUCAUUUCUUUGGAAGUUAACAUCGGAUGAAACGAGAGUGGCGAUGGGUGGGGUAACGUGUUAAGCAAUGGGAACUUUCGCGGAAGAAAUGCCAGAGGACGCGAGAAGGCUUAGUGAUGAACUGAGCUCUUUCUUCUGGACGUUGCUGGGUGCACUACAAAAUGUUAUUGUUUGAUUUCCUCGAUUUCAUGUUUUGUCAGAUGCUUUAUUUUUACCAAAUGUCAAUCCAAAUUCCGAAAUAAGUCGUCAUCAUUUUCAUUUAUAUUAAUAUUUCUUCAACUGUUCCAUACAUCAUGAAAUCAAAAUCUACAUUAAAAUCAAUCAAAUUAUCGUUGCUCAUUUUGUUUUAACUGCUUUUCUGUAGAUUUCAGUUAUGCAGGUUGCCAAUAAUUUUACUACGAUUUCAUUGAAAAAACAGUUCCAUAGUAUGCCCCGUCCAUUAGUAUUAUUGCGCCCAAUGACAGGACAGAAGUAUCGAACACAAUCACGCGAUUUUGAUGGAAAAUGCCAUUGCACUUUUAUAGAAAUAAUGUGAAAUUGAUAAACAACAACCAUCGUUAAGAAAUGAAAUGUUAAUGUAAAUAUUUCAGAUUAGCAACUGCUUCUUUGAUGAAAUCAUAUUCAUGUCAUUGUGUGCACGUUUUGACUUUGUUGCAUUGAAUUAUCACGUUUUUAACGAUUUGCUUCCAGACAUAAAAACUAUAACCAUUAUUGUUUUAGUGUGUGUGUGUGUGUGUGCGCGCGCGCGCGCGCGUGCGUGCGUGCGUGCGUGUGUGUGUGUGUGUGUGUGUGUUAUGUGCGAUGCAUAUGUACAACAAUUACACUGUAACAAAAGUAAAUAUAAAACAUAUAAUGUAAAAACUACUGUCGAAUGGUGCUAUUCUGUUAUCUUAAUUUAUGCAUGCAAUAAAGGGAGUAAGACACAAAUAUUGCAGAAGACAUGGAAAUGUUGUAUUUAUGCCAGAUAUCAAUUAUUAAGGAUUUAAGAAACAGAUUUUGUAUUUGAAUUUGUUGUUGUAUUGUGAAUAAAUGUGAGUGAACAAAA